Molecule: long non-coding RNA, 1270 nt
Filed under: Mus musculus (house mouse)
Lineage: Eukaryota; Metazoa; Chordata; Mammalia; Rodentia; Muridae
Description: long non-coding RNA chr7:135566856-135568126
Source: RNAcentral
AAGAAGUACAGAUUCCAAGCCUGCCCAGGUGUCCCUCUCUUGAUGGGCUGCUGGUGGUGGCCUGAAAGACUGAGGUUUGCAGUUUCUGAGGGACUGGCACACUCACCUUUAAGACCUAUCGUUUGGUAUCAAGAAGGCAGUUCCCAAAUCUAUAGCAUAGCUAUUCACUUUCCAUUGAACCUAAGCACAUUGUGUGCGUGUGCGUGUGCGUGUGUGUGUUGCUGAAGGUAGAACCCACCCAAGGACUUGCAUAUACUGGGCAAGUAUUCUUCCAGUGAGCUACAUUCUUAAUCUUCAUUUUACUUUUAAUUUGAGACAAGGUCAUGUGAGUGGUGAAGGUACUGUUUAUUUAUUCCCUUAUAAACAGCCACAAGCCAAUAACCACGACCUCCAUCACCACAGGUGACAGGACCCCAUGCUCUACUGUGCCUAGACUAUCUCUUAAAUGAGCAUGGGUUUGGACAUUGCAUUAAAACAAAAGCCUCCCUGGGCUUGCUUGACACAGCUUGUGCUUUUAUGAAAUGCUAAUGGUAUUGAAUCAACUGUGGGACGUUUAUAUAUUGGGCUGGCUUUGAUCAGGACUCCUCACUUUCCAUUCUAACACUGAGUCCCGGGGGCCUAAGAACCAUCCACCUGUACUGAGCCUGCAUACUGCUCAGAGGUCUUGGUUGGGAUUGGAGGCAGCAUCCUAGGUGUUCUCUGUUGAGAAUUACUCUGGCAUCUGUGCAUCUGAUCAUAUUCCUCUGAUUUCACUUUUGUAGUAAUCCUAGCAGGGAGCAUGGGGCUGUGUGAUGUGCAGGAUAUCCUAACUGUAGUGAUCUGGGUGAGGGAAGAGUUGAAACCUGGGCCCCAGGAACAUCAUGACACCUCCCCCACCUCCAGUCAUCCUGACUCAUGACUGUGAACCACCACACUGGGCAGACACUCAGUGGAAUCCUACUUUCUGUAUAGCUAUGACCCACUGCCUGUUGCUGUCCUUCUUUAAAUGAUAUCAUUAAGGAUUCUUGGCACAGUGAUGUAGCUUAAGAGUCACUGUGGGUAUUGAGGGCCCACACUUAAGACCGGCAUCUCUCCACACUCUGUGAGUGGUCCCAACCUUUUGCAGGCCUAACUGAUAUUUUUAUCUCUAAGAUACUUGGCUGGUGAGCAAAGCAGAGGGGAAGGAAGAGCUGGACUCCCUGCUGUACCUUGUACUAAUGAGUUUCCGGUCUUAAGCAUGGAGGUUAGUGUGAAUCUAGCCACAUGAUGGGGCCUUUUAAAAGUCUGCACC